UUAAUAAAAAGAAUUAAACUACAUGUUAGGAGGAUAAAAAUAAGUAAAAAAUAAAAGUUAAAGGUGUUAAUAGAAUAUUGUUAAAUUACAGAAAAUCUCUUAUAAAUACUUGUUUUUUGCUUUUUUUUCUCCCUGGUUUCAAAAACCUACAUUUUAUCAUCUCAACUUAAGUUGUUGCAUUUAGUCCUCCUCCAUCAGAGUUCUAUUAUUAUUAUGACAAUUUUAAUUUAUACCAAACAUACUCUUCAAAAUAUUUUUUUAUAAAAAAGUAAGAAUAAUUUAGUCAUUUUAUUCUUUUCAUUAAUGUCGUACCACUGAAAAUAAUUUUAAAAUUUUAAGACGACAAAAUAUAGCUUUUUUAAAGUCAUAAAAAAAAUUAAAAAAAUAGAUAUUUAUAGAGAGUUUUCUAUAAAUUAGCCAUAGAAUAUUUAUAU
This 434-nucleotide long non-coding RNA is filed under the name Ananas comosus (pineapple). RNAcentral describes it as "long non-coding RNA (ACOM_LNC006577)". Lineage: Eukaryota; Viridiplantae; Streptophyta; Magnoliopsida; Poales; Bromeliaceae. The record is from RNAcentral.